This 253-nucleotide ribosomal RNA is filed under the name uncultured bacterium. RNAcentral describes it as "partial 16S ribosomal RNA". It matches the Rfam family "Bacterial small subunit ribosomal RNA", at positions 524 to 776 of the family's 1533-position model. The record is from RNAcentral.
GACAGAGGGUGCGAGCGUUAAUCGGAAUUACUGGGCGUAAAGAGCGUGUAGGUGGUUGAAUAUGUCAGGUGUGAAAUCCUCGGGCUUAACCUGAGUUGGUCAUUUGAAACUAUUUAACUAGAGUACAGGAGAGGGAAGUGGAAUUUCCGGAGGAGCGGUGGAAUGCGUAGAUACCGGAAGGAACACCAGUGGCGAAGGCGGCUUCCUGGCCUGAUACUGACACUGAGACGCGAAAGCGUGGGGAGCGAACAGG